CAGACUGACGGACUUGGCUUGAUUCAUUUCUACAUCUGGUGACCCCGACGUGAUUCCCCCUGCUCACCGGCUGGAAUAGCCCUCUGUGCACCGAAACUCGCUGGAAAGCUUCAUUUCGCAAUGAUACAGAGGGAGGAAGAGGGAGAAUUGAGCAGCGAGCAGAUAGGAGAGUUAUUGGCUGCGUUCCCAGUGACACAUCGCCCAGGCAACGCAGCGGGGGAAGCUGAAGUGGAGAUCACAGCCCCCCCCUAUUCCGUUCUCCGAGAGGCGAGACGGACGGUUACUGAGUCGGGAUCAAAAUCCACCUUCACCCGAGGUCCGUUGUGGGUCCCUGCCAAAAAUGUGCGACCGUGGCACGAUGACGUGGCAUCAAAGCCUCAAGAACCCGAUACCCAACUUCAAUCUGAACCUAACCGAGACCUUUCCAGUGUGCCGAGCCACAAAGAUGGCACCGAGGGUUACCUGGGGGCAGGUGAAGCGACUGGCGCAGCAGGCUCAGCAAAUGCUGGAGAAUAACAAGGCUGAGCCUACCCCCGAAAAUUUUACUGCUGCUAUUUUUGCCUGUUUGAUUGCUAAUUCCUUUACCAUAUUGUUGUGUUGUUUUUGUGUGUUACCGGCUGGGGCCGAACCCGAAUUGCAUAGCCGCAUGCGUUAUAAUAUAUGAGUUCGAUUUGCGGUCCUUGCCAAUCAAUCUUCCUUUUGUUUACAGCAGGCCCCUGAGAUGCAUGGCCUGUUGGGCACCUGCCUGGUCCCAGUAUGCAAGGUGCCAGGCGAUGCUGCAGAUGCAAUAGGGAUGUUAAUUAUAUUAAUGCCACCGAGAUUCGAUAUUCUUCCAUGAGCCUAUGGGGUCAAGCCACUUAUGUGAAACCCGCGAGUGCCUUGUCCCUUUUUACCCCAUGGGUAGCCAAUUAUGCCAGUUUGACCUGUGUACGGAUGGUUAAUUGCACACGUCACAAGCCCCCAAAAGGAUGUUUGCGGGUGGGUACCCUGGGAUGGAACUGUACACACUUUCAAAAUGUGUCCAGCAAUUACGGGCACAUCUUGUUACCGGAGGGUUGAUUUUCUACAUGUGGUCAGAGGACCUUUAAUUAUAUUCCGGCCAACAUUUCAGAAGCUCAGUGCUGCCUAAGCAGGCUCACGUUGAUACUCCCCACGAGGUCAAUGUUGACCGGCUCCCAAACUAAUGAGACCCGCACCCGACGCCGGCAAAGCUCAAUCCCCAUGAGAUUAGAUUGUAAUGCCAAUGUCAGCCUUUUCAGUUGGGCUAAGUACAUCUUUCUGGCUGCCAUCCAUGGGAUGGGCUCGAAUUGUUUUGCAAUAUGCUUUGAUUGUUAUCGCCUGCUUGAUUGGUUUUUGUUGCUUUGCUCAGUGUAUUCCUAAUAUAAUUAGGAUGUGUUUUACACCCUGUCGGCGCAAACCCCUGCCUACAUUCCAGGCCGUCAUGUAUGCCCAUAGAAUCAUGAAACAUGCGGACCAGGCACGGGUUGACAAAACAGAAAAGGAGGGGAUGUAGGAACGUUACACUUCUUAAGCACUAAGGGGGUAGGAAAACCGCCCCCAACAUUUAGAGCGGCUGAAGUGGUUCCCACCCCCCCACACUUCCAGUCAGGAGACACACUGAUAGAGCGCUGACCAGGUGUUUACCACUGGAGUACGCAGUGCAUAAAGCACCAAUCAGGAGAGGGGGCGAGGAGCUGGCUUGUGUUAGUACAUGCGUAUAAUAGGAUGAUUUAUGUAACCAAUUAUAAUAUAUAGACGUGGAAAUCCCCGUUCGGGGCACUCCACCGGAACAGACUGACUGACUUGGCUUCAUUCAUUGCUACACCUCCUACUUCAAAAGAUUAAAAAGUGUGAAAAGAGAGGUAUUUUUCUCCA
Molecule: long non-coding RNA, 1875 nt
Organism: Mauremys mutica (yellowpond turtle)
Lineage: Eukaryota; Metazoa; Chordata; Testudines; Geoemydidae
Exons: 3
Source: RefSeq, a predicted model, not a curated record